Molecule: long non-coding RNA, 1092 nt
Organism: Gadus macrocephalus (Pacific cod)
Lineage: Eukaryota; Metazoa; Chordata; Actinopteri; Gadiformes; Gadidae
Exons: 2
Source: RefSeq, a predicted model, not a curated record
GUUCGUCUGUCUCGUCCCCCAGAUACAGACUGAAUACCCGAAUCCAGGUUCUUGUUUAUUUAGAUUAUUAUGUUGGCCAAACCUCUUACACUGAUUGUUCUGUUCAACCUAAGAUAAAACAAUUAUAAUCUAGGAUAUAAAUUCUCCCCGUCAACUAUAAAAAAGGAUGGAUUUAUGUUUAUUGCAAUACAAAUACACCCUUUUAAAAAUGUAUAACCUUGCCUACACUUUAUGAACAUCUACUUCGGACAUGGCUCCACGCAUUCGCCGGCUUCUUUGAAAACAAAUGCACAUGGCUCGCGUAGAAGUGCAUGGGGAAGGGUCGUCAACAAGUUGUUACGACAGUGUUGUGAAAUAUCUACUACGAAGCUGUAGGGGGCGCUGUGUAGAGAAAUGUGCAUGCCAAAACCAAGAAAACAGCGAAGAAAUGCCCGAAGUUGCAUAGUGGGCCUUUAAAACAACAAAUGCUUCAUAUUGGUGUAACGUUCUGUUAUUUGUUUGAUGAAAAAAUCUAAACUUAAUGAAACUAAUAGAUCGGUAAAGAAAUGCAAGUCUCGUGCAUUUAUAAUUGUAUCGCUGUGUUUUGAAUAGUCACCUACCAUAACCUCCAAGUGCAGCUGAGCCGAACGUCACAUCUUCGUGCAGUGAGUCCCGUUGUGACACCGAAUUCUGCGACCCACCGAAAAGUGUGACCCGAGGGGGCGCUGUUGAAUAAUGUGCAACUCGCGCUCCAGACAUCCACCAGCACGCAAUUUCCGGCGUGUGGGUGGAUGUUUCUGUCUGCAGCGGAAGUGCGUGUGGGUGGAUGUCUGGAGCGUGUGGGUGGAUGUCUGCAGCCAGACCCCUCUCGCAUGGGUAUACCCAGGCUACGGGGAUACUGAACGACGGGAAUCAAAGGGCUGAUCACCUGGAGAGGAGGUGCCAUUGCGGCAUGUUACGGAGAGAGCUGUUCGUCUGCAAUGACUGUGGUCCUGCGGUUGUUGCAGACGCUGGUGGCGGUCCUGUACUUGUCCAGGUUCUGAAUGGUGCGGCAGGGCGGAUCGCUGACCCUGGCUGCACAUCCAGAGAUCUUGGAGAGAACCUCCAGGUCUU